CAACAUCAAAAUAAAAUGAAAUUCUGUGCUUGACCGUCAAGGGCCAAUGAACUGUGCCAUUACAGUAAAUGCCAGCAAAAAUGAGAAAGUCAUCUUCAUGUGUAUGGACAAUGAUCAAACUACAAGAAUCAGUCUCUGAUGAAUAAACAUCUAUUCUGUACCCUCUCUUAUGAUUAUCCAUUAAUCAGCAAACAAAAAUUACCAUAAAGUUUGGCGAUUUCCAAGGAAAAGAAUGAUGGUAUUAAAAAAUUAUCCGGGAGAUGUUACUUUUCAAGAUCAGCAUCACAUACAGCAUCACCAGUAAUCUCCACAUGAACAAAUUCCACCCUUGAAAUGAUGGAAUCGCUUUAUAUCUCUCAAUACAAUCUCCCUUUGACUCAUCUUACUAGCAUAUUUCAUUAGAGAAUGACAAUCUCCACAAACUCUGAGAUUUUUCACAAUUCUUAUAGUCAUACCAGGAGAAGUACGAAGAAGGCCAAAAGCAAGUGCCAACUUCUCACUAUGACUUCCCAAUGCAUCUUCCUUCUCUUCUUCUUCAAUAUUAUGAAGUACCCACUCAGUUCCAGGCAUGUAUCCUUGUUCCCUUGCACCUGCCACUAUUUCUUCUAAUUUCAAGUAUAUAUCUUUUGCAUCCCGAUGAAAGUAAUCACCAGCUACAAAACUAUGCACUUGACCCUCCACCUCUAUAUAACUCCAUCCUGGAUCUUUCUCUAUGCCUUUAUUCUGCAUCAGAAUUCUCACUCUCUCUACAUCUUCCCAUCGGCCUACUGCAGCAUAAACAUUUGAUAGGAAGACAUAGCUCCCAGGAUGCUUAGGUUCAAGCUCCAGGAGCUUCUGUGAGGCUAACUCUGCCAAUUUGAUAUUUUUGUGAGCUCUGCAAGCGCAAAAAAGUGCUCCCCAUAUCACAAAAUCGGGAGUUAUUGGCAUGCUUUCAAUGAACCUCAGAGCUUGAUUUAGCCAACCUGCCCUGCCUAAGAGAUCAACAAUUAAUGCAUAAUGCUUCAUGGUGGGUUCAAUAGAGUAGUCGAGCUUCAUGCUGUUGAAGAAAUUAAGUCCAAGAUUUACUUUGCCAGCAUGUGUGCAUGCAGUUAGUAUGGCAAGAAAGACAACCUCAUCUGGUCGUAUACCUGCAUACAUCAUUUGUUUGAAAUACUUAAUUGCUUCCUCAGAAUGUCCAUGGAUUGCCCAACCCCAUAUCAUAACACUCCAUGUAAGAAUGUCCUUCUCUUUUGUCUCCCUGAACACCUCAUUUGCAGACUCAAUAUUCCCACAUUUUGCAUACAAAUCCACCAAAGCAGUUCCAAUUACUCUAUUCAAACGGAAACCAUUAUCUUUCAGAUAUCUGUGUAUUCUUAGUCCAGCUUCAAGGGCACCAAUCUUUGCACAAGCAGAGAGAGCUGAAACAAUGGUGAAAUCAUUUGGCUUCACACUCUCUUCCAACAUCUUAAAAAACAAGGACAAUGCCUUCUCAUGGUCUCCAUUCUGUGAAAACCCAUUAAUCAUUGUACUCCAAGAAACCACAUUCUUCCCUGGCAUUCGAUCAAACAGCUCCCUCGCUUUCUCCAAAUCCCCACUUCUCAAAAACCCAUUAAUCAAACUAUUCCAAGACGCAGUAUUCCUCUGUGGCAUGGCCUGAAAGAGCUCCGCAGCCUUGCUCAUAUCCCCAACCUUACAAUACCCAUUAAUCAAAACAUUCCACAACAAUGUCUUAUCAGUAUUAAACCUCUGAGGACUUUCAUCAAACAGCUUCAAAGCAAAUCCCAAUUCCUCAACUUUUACAUACAGAUCGACCAUAGCUAUUCUAACGAAUGAAUCAAACUCGAAUCCACGCUUCAAAAUCAUCCCAUGAAGAGUUCUACCAAGCCCUUCUAAACACAAACAAGCAACAGAUUUAAGUAUAAAUGGGAAGGUGAGCUGGUCUGGUCUAACAUCCAACCUCAACAUGAGAAUAAAAUGGGAGAUGGCAUUCUCAAAAAGGGAAUUACUCGUGAGGCCACGAAUCAAUGCAUUGAAAAGAAACGAGUUCUUGGGAUGGUAAUGGUUAAAGACCGCGAGAGAGUAGCCAACGGAUUUGCGUAAAGAUGACGAAGAGAUCAACUGGGUAGUGAUGAGGCUGCUGGAAGAGAGGUCGUGGAGGAGGAUUUGUGCGUGGAUUUGGUGGAGUUGGAGUGUGGUUUUCGAAGAGUGAAUAAGAGAUAUGAAGUGCUUUUCCGAUGGAUCUUGAGAGGGUGCAUUGGGCACGGAGGUUGGCUUUCUCGAGGAAGAAGUCGCGACAGUUGUUUUAGCGGGAGAAGCAGUUGGUUUAAACAGGGCAUAAAGA
This 2320-nucleotide unclassified non-coding RNA is filed under the name Hevea brasiliensis (rubber tree). The record is from RNAcentral. Lineage: Eukaryota; Viridiplantae; Streptophyta; Magnoliopsida; Malpighiales; Euphorbiaceae.